UACGGAGGGUGCAAGCAUUAAUCGGAUUUACUGGGUGUAAAGAGUGCGUAGGCGGACAGGCAAGUCAGAUGUGAAAUUCCGUUGCUUAACAUCGGAGCUGCAUUUGAUACUACCUGUCUUGAGGAUAGACGGAGAAAACGGAAUUCCACGUGUAGCGGUGAAAUGCGUAGAUAUGUGGAAGAACACCUGUGGCGUAAGCGGUUUUCUAAUUUAUUCCUGACGCUGAGGUACGAGAGCAAGGGGAGCAAAC
RNAcentral lists this ribosomal RNA (250 nucleotides) under uncultured bacterium. RNAcentral describes it as "partial 16S ribosomal RNA". It matches the Rfam family "Bacterial small subunit ribosomal RNA", at positions 524 to 773 of the family's 1533-position model. The record is from RNAcentral.